CCGUUAACGAACGAGACCUUAACCUGCUAAAUAGCCAGGCUAGCUUUUGCUGGUCGCGGGCUUCUUAGAGGGACUAUCGGCUCAAGCCGAUGGAAGUUUGAGGCAAUAACAGGUCUGUGAUGCCCUUAGAUGCUCUGGGCCGCACGCGCGCUACACUGACAGAGCCAGCGAGUACAUCACCUUGGCUGAAAAGUCUGGGUAAUCUUGUUAAACUCUGUCGUGCUGGGGAUAGAGCAUUGCAAUUAUUGCUCUUCAACGAGGAAUGCCUAGUAAGCGCAAGUCAUCAGCUUGCGUUGACUACGUCCCUGCCCUUUGUACACACCGCCCGUCGCUAAUACCGAUUGAAUGGAUA
RNAcentral lists this ribosomal RNA (352 nucleotides) under Eukaryota sp. Its description in RNAcentral is "SSU rRNA". It matches the Rfam family "Eukaryotic small subunit ribosomal RNA", at positions 1325 to 1699 of the family's 1831-position model. The record is from RNAcentral.